This is an RNA transcript of Tupaia belangeri chinensis (Chinese tree shrew), 1524 nucleotides long. RefSeq lists it as uncharacterized. Lineage: Eukaryota; Metazoa; Chordata; Mammalia; Scandentia; Tupaiidae. The record is from RefSeq and is a predicted model, not a curated record. The transcript is spliced from 3 exons.
ACUCUUGGCACUUUUUGUUUUAGGUUUCAGUUCUGCAGUCUACAAAGGACUCUUCUAAAAAGAUAUGUGUUGCCAACACCCAUCUCUACUGGCAUCCAAAAGGUGGGUACAUUCGUCUCAUUCAAAUGGCAACUGCAUUGACUCACAUUAGACAUGUCUCUUGUGAUCUGUAUCCUGGCAUACCGGUUAUAUUUUGUGGGGACUUUAAUAGUACACCGUCAACAGGAAUGUAUCAUUUUGUCAUCAAUGGCAGCAUUCCAGAGGAUCAUGAAGACUGGGCUUCCAAUGGGGAAGAGGAAAGAUGCAACAUGUCUCUUAGGCAUUUCUUCAAACUGAAAAGUGCUUGUGGUGAACCUGCUUACACAAAUUACGUUGGUGGCUUUCAUGGAUGUCUAGAUUACAUUUUCAUUGACUUACAUGCUUUAGAGGUUGACCAGGUGAUUCCAUUACCUAGCCAUGAAGAAGUUACCACCCACCAGGCCUUACCUAGUGUUUCCCAUCCCUCUGAUCACAUAGCACUUGUAUGUGAUUUGAAAUGGAAAUAGACUUAUGUGGAAUGGAAUUUGUUUUAAGUUUGGAAAGGAUGGUAGUUACUCUAGCUAAUUUUGUAUGAAUCAGAGCUUAAAUGUUACCUUCAAGGAAGAACACACAGUAAGUUAAAAUAUUCAUACCCUACUAGUUAUGUUCAGAUGAUUUCACAUAAGAUUCUUUAUAAUGUUUGAAUCAUAAGGAUUUUGUACCCGUUUUUCCCCUACACUUGGAAGUGAAACAAAUAUAUUUAGACUAGGAAGAAGGAAAUUUAAUUAUGUUGUACGUUUUUAUACAUGAUUUUUUUAGUUACUAACUACGGAUUUUUAAAAUGCCUGUUGAAUGACCUUAUACUUUUUAUUUUACAGUACAUUUCUAAUUAAAUUAUCUAUAUGCAAUUAAGGGUAAAAUUUAUAUAAAUCAAGAUAAAAGACCUAUGUUUUGGCACAUAGAAAGAAUAACAUUAGAAUCUGCCUUUGUCUCAAUUUGGUUAGCACUUUACUAGUCUCAGAGCUUUACAAAAGAUUAAAAUAUGCCAUCACUAAUUGUUAUGGCUUCUCAUCCUUUUUAAUAAGGAAGGUACGUUCAUCUCUCUUUUUUUUUUAGGAUUUUAGUGUUUACUACAUGGUACAAAUAAACAUGUUUAUUCUUAUUGCUGCUCAUUUUAAUUUUCAGAAUACAAGCACAAUUUAUGACUCAAAGUGAGUAGCAACAUAUUCAGCCAGUUUCAUUAUCUUUAAUUACUCUUGCCUAUGAAAAAUGUUCAGGAUAUUUGAAAAAUAGAGUAUUUAAUCAUACAGUAUUAGAGAAUACAACAUAAUAUAUUACUUUAUGAGAACUGCCUUCUGAUACGGGCUUGAAGUUUUAAGUGAACCAUUCAGCAUUUCGAUGCUGGAAGCAUUUUUGAAAUUGUCAAUUUUUUAUACUAGGGGAUAAUGGGACUUUUAAAAGCAUCUCUGAAAUAAAGAUAUUCUUUUUAUAGUCUUGAACAUUGUA